GUAGUGGUAGUGGAGUGGUUAAGCACUUGGCUGCUAACCAAAAGGUCAGAGGUUUGAAUCCACCCGCUAUA
Molecule: transfer RNA, 71 nt
Filed under: Loxodonta africana (African savanna elephant)
Lineage: Eukaryota; Metazoa; Chordata; Mammalia; Proboscidea; Elephantidae
Rfam family: tRNA
About the family: Transfer RNA (tRNA) molecules are approximately 80 nucleotides in length. Their secondary structure includes four short double-helical elements and three loops (D, anti-codon, and T loops).
Source: Rfam by way of RNAcentral